GACGAACGCUGGCGGCGUGCUUAACACAUGCAAGUCGAACGGAAAGGCCCUUCGGGGUACUCGAGUGGCGAACGGGUGAGUAACACGUGGGUGAUCUGCCCUGCACUUUGGGAUAAGCCUGGGAAACUGGGUCUAAUACCGAAUAGGACCGCGCGCUUCAUGGUGUGUGGUGGAAGGCUUUUGCGGUGUGGGAUGGGCCCGCGGCCUAUCAGCUUGUUGGUGGGGUAAUGGCCUACCAAGGCGACGACGGGUAGCCGGCCUGAGAGGGUGACCGGCCACACUGGGACUGAGAUACGGCCCAGACUCCUACGGGAGGCAGCAGUGGGGAAUAUUGCACAAUGGGCGCAAGCCUGAUGCAGCGACGCCGCGUGAGGGAUGACGGCCUUCGGGUUGUAAACCUCUUUCACCAGGGACGAAGCGCAAGUGACGGUACCUGGAGAAGAAGCACCGGCCAACUACGUG
RNAcentral lists this ribosomal RNA (462 nucleotides) under uncultured bacterium. RNAcentral describes it as "partial 16S ribosomal RNA". It matches the Rfam family "Bacterial small subunit ribosomal RNA", at positions 28 to 507 of the family's 1533-position model. The record is from RNAcentral.